AUGUCGUCACUAUAUUCGGCGCGUGUGAUUGGCUGCUCAGGCCACGUGGGAAUCAUUUGAAAAAACGCGCAAGGUAAUUUGUGUCGAAAGUGCAGCGGCCGCCGCUUUCCUGAGUAAAUGAACCUUACAAGACGGUUUGGGAGAAAUAUCAAAAAGGCUGGUUAACUGUAGCUAUGCUUCAGAAACAUGUCAGUGUUAGCUAACCAUUUCAUUUCACGGUUUGUCAGGUGAUACUACGAGUACACAGGCUGUGUGCGCCAUUACCUGAGCCCACAGAGAGAGUGUUUAAAGUGCCAGGCUGUAAUCGGAGGUGGAAGGGGGGCGGCCAUCUUGGAUUUCUCAUCUUCGCUUGACAAGAUACAUUACCCUUUUGCAUUCCUCUUACUAAAGCUUUUCACUUGCUCUGGCAAACAUGAAUUCAGUGCGCAGAUACUUGGCACACUGGGAGUGGCCGUUGUAUUCAGCCAGGUCUGCUGCUGUGAAGCCGUCCUGGUCCCUGAUGCCCAGGUCUACCCCAUUGACCACAAGGAUCUGACAGCACUGGAGAGUGACAUGAGAGAGACAGAGAGGAUUUGACUCAUAGUGUCCUGACAUUCUAACAUACCAGCCAGACGAUGACUGUGUUGUGGCCCAUUUGGGCAGCAGCAUGUAGAGGUGUCAUCCCGUCAUUGGCUCUG
This is a long non-coding RNA of Larimichthys crocea (large yellow croaker), 677 nucleotides long. RefSeq lists it as uncharacterized. NCBI's taxonomy places the organism in Eukaryota, Metazoa, Chordata, Actinopteri, Sciaenidae. The transcript is spliced from 4 exons. The record is from RefSeq and is a predicted model, not a curated record.